RNAcentral lists this ribosomal RNA (1471 nucleotides) under uncultured rumen bacterium. Its description in RNAcentral is "bacterial SSU rRNA". It matches the Rfam family "Bacterial small subunit ribosomal RNA". The record is from RNAcentral.
AGAGUUUGAUCAUGGCUCAGGAUGAACGCUGGCGGCGUGCGUAACACAUGCAAGUUGAGCGACGACGUGCUGGAAGUGGCGACAUGGAAGGCAUGAGCGGAGCAGCGGACGGGUGAGUAUAACAUGAGAAGCUGUCCAAUGGCGGGGGGCAACGUCUGGAAACGGACGCUAAUACCCCAUAAGCCGAGAGGUAAAAGCCGAAAGGCGCCAAGGGAGGCGCUCGUGCCCUAUCAGCUAGUUGGUGAGGUAAUGGCUCACCAAGGCGACGACGGGUAGCCGGCCUGAGAGGGUGACCGGCCACACUGGGACUGAGAUACGGCCCAGACUCCUACGGGAGGCAGCAGUGGGGAAUAUUGGGCAAUGGGAGAAAUCCUGACCCAGCGACGCCGCGUGAACGAAGAAGGCCUUCGGGUCGUAAAGUUCUUUUAUGGGGGAAGAAGGAAGUGACGGUACCCCAUGAAUAAGCCCCGGCUAACUACGUGCCAGCAGCCGCGGUAAUACGUAGGGGGCGAGCGUUGUCCGGAAUUACUGGGCGUAAAGGGCACGCAGGCGGUGCGUCAAGUCAGCUGUAAAAGGAUGCGGCUUAACCGUAUUAUGCAGUUGAGACUGAAGUACUGGAGUGCUGGAGAGGCAAGUGAAAUUCCCAGUGUAGCGGUGAAAUGCGUAGAUAUUGGGAAGAACAUCGGUGGCGAAGGCGACUUGCUGGCCAGUAACUGACGCUGAGGUGCGAAAGCCAGGGUAGCAAACGGGAUUAGAUACCCCGGUAGUCCUGGCCGUAAACGAUGAAUGCUAGGUGUGCGUGCAGAGAUGCAGGUGUGCCGCAGUUAACGCGAUAAGCAUUCCGCCUGGGGAGUACGGUCGCAAGAUUGAAACUCAAAGGAAUUGACGGGGGCCCGCACAAGCGGUGGAGCACGUGGUUUAAUUCGAUGCAAACCGAAGAACCUUACCUGGGUUUGACAUCCCGAGAAGUCGGAGUAAUGUCCGACGUGCCCUCCGGGGAAUUCGGAGACAGGUGGUGCAUGGUUGUCGUCAGCUCGUGUCGUGAGAUGUUGGGUUAAGUCCCGCAACGAGCGCAACCCUUACUGUUAGUUGCUACGCAAGAGCACUCUAACAGGACUGCCGUUGACAAAACGGAGGAAGGUGGGGACGACGUCAAAUCAUCAUGCCCCUUACGCUCUGGGCCUCACACGUACUACAAUGGCGUAAACAAAGGGGAGCAAUGCCGCGAGGCGGAGCAAAUCCCAAAAUAACGUCCCAGUUCAGAUUGCAGGCUGCAACUCGCCUGCAUGAAGUUGGAAUUGCUAGUAAUCGCGGAUCAGCAUGCCGCGGUGAAUACGUUCCCGGGCUUUGUACACACCGCCCGUCAAACCAUGAAAGUCGGGAAGACCUGAAGUCUGUGUCCCAACCGCAAGGAGGGAGCAGCCGAAGGUCGGUUCGAUGAUUGGGGUUAAGUCGUAACAAGGUAACCGUA